This 45-nucleotide non-coding RNA is filed under the name Schistosoma bovis. RNAcentral also lists the same sequence under 1 other name. The record is from RNAcentral. Lineage: Eukaryota; Metazoa; Platyhelminthes; Trematoda; Strigeidida; Schistosomatidae.
AUCCGGCUGACUUGUCCUAAAUAGGAUGAAACGCGUGUUUUGGAU